Molecule: ribosomal RNA, 492 nt
Filed under: uncultured bacterium
Lineage: Bacteria
Description: partial 16S ribosomal RNA
Rfam family: Bacterial small subunit ribosomal RNA
Source: RNAcentral
AGUGAACGCUGGCGGUAGGCCUAACACAUGCAAGUCGAACGGCAGCACAGUAAGAGCUUGCUCUUACGGGUGGCGAGUGGCGGACGGGUGAGGAAUACAUCGGAAUCUACUUUUUCGUGGGGGCUAACGUAGGGAAACUUACGCUAAUACCGCAUACGACCUACGGGUGAAAGCAGGGGAUCUUCGGACCUUGCGCGAUUGAAUGAGCCGAUGUCGGAUUAGCUAGUUGGCGGGGUAAAGGCCCACCAAGGCGACGAUCCGUAGCUGGUCUGAGAGGAUGAUCAGCCACACUGGAACUGAGACACGGUCCAGACUCCUACGGGAGGCAGCAGUGGGGAAUAUUGGACAAUGGGCGCAAGCCUGAUCCAGCCAUACCGCGUGGGUGAAGAAGGCCUUCGGGUUGUAAAGCACUUUUGUUGGGAAAGAAAAGCAGCAGGUUAAUACCCCGCUGUUCUGACGGUACCAAAAGAAUAAGCACCGGCUAACUUCGUG